GCGGGCGUAGUUCAGUGGUAGAACGUCAGCUUCCCAAGCUGAUGACAUCAGUGGAAGCAAACCCCAAGACCUCA
RNAcentral lists this transfer RNA (74 nucleotides) under Lutibaculum baratangense AMV1. RNAcentral describes it as "tRNA-Gly". The stretch from base 1 to 53 matches the Rfam family "tRNA". From Rfam's summary of the family: Transfer RNA (tRNA) molecules are approximately 80 nucleotides in length. Lineage: Bacteria; Pseudomonadati; Pseudomonadota; Alphaproteobacteria; Hyphomicrobiales; Tepidamorphaceae. The record is from RNAcentral.